UCACUUUUGAUUUUUGUGCCCGGCUCAGU
This 29-nucleotide non-coding RNA is filed under the name Rattus norvegicus (Norway rat). Lineage: Eukaryota; Metazoa; Chordata; Mammalia; Rodentia; Muridae. The record is from RNAcentral.